GAUGAAGAACGUAGCAAAAUGCGAUAGGUAAUGUGAAUUGCAGAAUUCAGUGAAUCAUCGAAUCUUUGAACGCACAUUGCGCCCGCCAGUAUUCUGGCGGGCAUGCCUGUUCGAGCGUCAUUUCAACCCUCAAGCACAGCUUGGUGUUGGGACUCGCGUUAAUUCGCGUUCCCCAAAUUGAUUGGCGGUCACGUCGAGCUUCCAUAGCGUAGUAGUAAAACCCUCGUUACUGGUAAUCGUCGCGGCCACGCCGUUAAACCCCAACUUCUGAAUGUUGACCUCGGAUCAGGUAGGAAUACCCGCUGAACUUAAGCAUAUCAAUAAGCGGAGGA
Molecule: unclassified non-coding RNA, 332 nt
Filed under: soil metagenome
Description: partial contains 5.8S ribosomal RNA, internal transcribed spacer 2, and large subunit ribosomal RNA
Rfam family: 5.8S ribosomal RNA (bases 1-120)
Source: RNAcentral